RNAcentral lists this ribosomal RNA (258 nucleotides) under uncultured bacterium. RNAcentral's name for it is "partial 16S ribosomal RNA". It matches the Rfam family "Bacterial small subunit ribosomal RNA", at positions 96 to 354 of the family's 1533-position model. The record is from RNAcentral.
CGGCGGACGGGUGAGUAACGCGUGGGUAAUCUGCCUCAUACAGGGGGAUAACAGUUAGAAAUGACUGCUAAUACCGCAUAAGCGCACAGGACCGCAUGGUCCGGUGUGAAAAACUCCGGUGGUAUGAGAUGGACCCGCGUCUGAUUAGCUGGUUGGCGGGGUAACGGCCCACCAAGGCGACGAUCAGUAGCCGACCUGAGAGGGUGGCCGGCCACAUUGGGACUGAGACACGGCCCAAACUCCUACGGAAGGCAGCAG